RNAcentral lists this ribosomal RNA (515 nucleotides) under uncultured bacterium. Its description in RNAcentral is "partial 16S ribosomal RNA". It matches the Rfam family "Bacterial small subunit ribosomal RNA", at positions 28 to 523 of the family's 1533-position model. The record is from RNAcentral.
GAUGAACGCUGGCGGCGUGCCUAAUACAUGCAAGUCGAGCGAAUGGAUUAAGAGCUUGCUCUUAUGAAGUUAGCGGCGGACGGGUGAGUAACACGUGGGUAACCUGCCCAUAAGACUGGGAUAACUCCGGGAAACCGGGGCUAAUACCGGAUAACAUUUUGAGCCGCAUGGUUCGAAAUUGAAAGGCGGCUUCGGCUGUCACUUAUGGAUGGACCCGCGUCGCAUUAGCUAGUUGGUGAGGUAACGGCUCACCAAGGCAACGAUGCGUAGCCGACCUGAGAGGGUGAUCGGCCAAACUGGGACUGAGAAACGGCCCAGACUCCUACGGGAGGCAGCAGUAGGGAAUCUUCCGCAAUGGCCGAAAGUCUGACGGAGCAACGCCGCGUGAGUGAUGAAGGCUUUCGGGUCGUAAAACUCUGUUGUUAGGGAAGAACAAGUGCUAGUUGAAUAAGCUGGCACCUUGACGGUACCUAACCAGAAAGCCACGGCUAACUACGUGCCAGCAGCCGCCGUAA